AGAAGGUCCCUCCGGCGGCGGCGGCGGCGGCGGCGACGCGCGCGGUCCUCGUCGCCGGACGGCCGCAUCCUCGGGCGGCCGGGCGGCGGCCUCGGCGGGCGGCGGCCGCUCCUGUCGCGGGCGGCCGCGGCGGGGACAGCGGCAGGAGGCAGCCCUGCGCGCAGCAGCCGCGCGUCCUCGCUGCGCUCCCACCCGGCCGCCGCCUCCGCCUCCUCUUCCUCCUCCUCGCCGCUGCCCGUCUCCUCGUCGUCGCCCUCCUCGUCGCUAUCGCCCAGUCCCUCCUCCCCUCCCUCCUCCUCCUCCUCGCCGCUCGCCCGCGCCGCCGCCUCCCGGCGCUCGGGGUCCCGCUCCUCCUCGCGCGCCAUGGCUCCCACGCUCCGCGCCCGCGCUCGGCCUGGGGCGGCGGCGCGGCGGGGGCGGCGGGGGCGGCCGGGAGGCGGGGGCGGAGGGGGCAGAGGAGGAGGAGCGGGGAAGGACCGACGGUAGGAGGGCCCGCCGCUGGCCAACUCCGCCGGUUGGCAAAGCCACCCCGGACUGGCUCUGGCCUCGCCGGCUGCAGGAGCGCCUCGCGGGGCCGCCCGCCUAUUCCAUGGUCGGCGCGAUGGGGGCCGGGGCCGGGCCGGAGCGAACAGGGAGCACCGAGCGAGCUGGGAGCAUGAGCUAGCGCAGCUCCCGGCAGCCUGCAGCGGCGAGGCUGGUCGGGCCAGGGUUGGCGGGGGGCAGUGCCUGGGACACAGCCCGGCGCUGGCCGGCAUGGCGGGGAGGGGGCGCGCUGGGAGGAGACUGGGCUGGGGAGGGAUCCCUGUGUGCAGUCCUUCAACCCUUCUGUGCCAGGGGAAGAGGGACGGCGCAGGGGGCCCCCUCUCGGGAAGCACACACGCUGCCUCCCAGAGGCCGAUCUUCACCAAGAAGGAUUCGCUGGAAACUUUCGGAAAACCGAGGGGCUCUUCAGCCUCCUCUCUACGUGCUACCUGGAGUCGGGGCGCCGCGAGUGCGCUUGGCUGCCCGCGCCCAGCCUCUGGCCUCGCCUCUUCUCGCGGGCCUCCCGGGUUUCCCUCUGCCCCCUUGCGGGGAUCCCCCUGUGCGCCCGACUCGGGAUCUGGAACAGGCCUCCCCAGAGGCUGUUAGUUCCAUAAGGGUGUCCGGCUCCCCCCUCUGUCUUGGGCUCACACUUCGCUUUCUGUUCGUGCUGGACCAAGUCCAAUACUGUGGCUGAUCGAAGUGGGGACAGCUGGCACGGUCCCUGGAGAGGCGGCCUGAAGAGGCUUCUGGCCUUGUGCAGGUCCCUGCAGAGACUUUGGACCUGAUGUGGUGAAUAAAGUUGGUUAGUCUUUCUCACAGUUCUACCUUUAGGACAAAGAAUAGAAAGCCUCCCGUGACUAUAUUCACUAACUCUCAGCCCAGGCCAGAUCAUCCACCAGCCAGUGAAAGGGACCUCGUCUGUGGCCAAACUAGGUGCAGCUCGGUGCCCUCCUGUGAUAUUUCCAGCUCUCCAGCCUCCUGCUGACCACAGCUCACAGACCUCAUGGAGUAGUUUCCAGGACAAAGCAAGGUUAUGUCUCCACAACACCAAACAUUCCCAGGUGUGGCAGGCAAGCCAUUGAUUUAGAAGAGAGGAGGAGAGAGGAAGAGAAAACCAGAAAAGGCACUUUCUUGGUAAAGAGACAUCAGCUUUCUCACCAUGGCUGUUUCAUAACACAAGGAGACCUGGCCCAAGCUCAGAGGGGAAAGACCCCUGGGUGUUCAUGGAAAACCUUUAAGCACAGUGAGACCAAAUGUUAGUAGAUGGGGGAUAAAAGGGAGAAAUUCAUGGAGUAUGCCUAGAACAGGCCUUGUAUGCAGCAUCCCCUUCUUGCCUAGGACUUGAAGGGCCAGGCUUCCUGUCAUUGCCUCACUCAAAUGUAGCCCAGGAAGACAUUAGACUGAUAGCACUGAUCACCUCCAGACAAAACCCCUGCACCUGCACAGUCACAUAGACUUGGACAAAAGCCCAUCCUUACUAAGGAAGACCUAACAACUAUUUCUUCUCACGCCCAUUCUUGUCCACCGUCUUUAUCAAAAAGCCAGGAAAACUGCUUCUUCAGACACUUUCUGAGCCGGCUGUAUUUUGAAGGACAAAAAAAAAAAAAUUACUCUUUUGAGAGCAUUGUGUCUGCAAGGUGGGCUCACGUUAUUUUUGGUGAUCAGUUUAUGACUGGAGUUCAAAUAGACUGCUUAUUUUAUAAGAGUUUUUAAUUUUGAAUAUUCUUUUUGCUGAACUGUGUGCAUUUGUUUGGUUUUUAACUCACCACAUGAAUAUGACUAUAGAUUUUUUUUUCCUAGUUGACCAUGGUCAGAUUCACAAUUGCCUUUAAAAAAAAUUUGUUGGCUGGGCACGGUGGCUCACGCCUGUAAUCCCAACACUUUAGGAGGCUGAAGCAGGUGGAUCAUCUGAGGUCAGAAGUUCGAGGCCAACCUGGCCAACAUGGUGAAACUCCGUCUCUACUAAAAAUACAAAAAUUAGCCAGGCAGGGUGGCGCAUGCCUGUAAUCCCAGCUACUCAGGAGGCUAAGGCAGGAGACUCUCUUGAACCCGGAAGGUGGAGGUUGCAGUGAGCCGAGAUCACGACACUGCACUCCAGCCUGGGUGGCAGAGCGAGACUCUGUCUCAGAAGAAAAAAAAAAAAAAAAGAAAAUGUGUUGAAGUAUAACAUACAUGAGGCAAAACGCACACAGCUUAAGCAUUAACUCAAUGACUCUGUAUAUACGUAUACAUCCUCACAGGUUCCAGACCAAGACAUGGAACAUUUCCUGCUCUCCCUGAAAGUCUCCCUGUGCCAGCCCCUCACCAGGCAAUAAUUCCCCAGAGAUAGUGCCUCUUCCCAACCCUGUACCCUAGAUCAUUGUUGCCUGUCCUUGAACCUCAGAUAAAGGGAGGCUCCUUUUGCCCAUCUUCGUUUUUGUGAUGUCUGUCCAUUGUGGUGUGCAUAGCUGUGAUUUGUUCUUUUUCACACUGUGAAGGUGUAGGUGGUUUUCACCUGAUGCUUCAGUUCCCUUCCAACUUUAGUAUAAGCCAAGAAUAAUCAAACCACUACAUCUGGAUCAGAGACAAAUGACCUCCCAGAUUGGCUAGUUUUGUAAGGAACUUCAGUUGAAAUUGAAACAGUCAUCAGCUGCUUCUCAAACCAGCUACACUACAUAAGGAGGAGCCCAAGGGAAACUGCAGGACAACAGGUCCACUGGGAAACUUCAGGGGGCCAAGCUGUCAAAGACAAGCACAGAAAAAUUCCUGCAAUGUGCGUUAGACCUUGAGGCAGCUUUUAAUGGCAAAAGUCAGUACAACCCAUUUCCUUUUUCUCUAAAUGAGAGGAAAGUAGAAUAGGUUCCAUCAGGAAAGAGUCACACCCAGGCCAUGACAAACUCAUGGAGGAUCCUGUCAAUCAAAUUCCUUUCUGCUGGGCAGAAAAAGUAUGUGGGAGCUUGUUAGUAAGGUGCAUUCCCAACCUAUCCUGAGGAUGUGGGACUCAGGAAGCCCAACAAUCUGCCCUAUUUACAAGGUCCCAGGUAUCCUUUCAUAUUAAGAUUUGAGACCUGCUGUUUCAGAGAAAGGGACAGCUUGGCAUGUAUUUUUUGGUAAAUCCUGGAGGGCAAGUCUAAAAAGCAAAAAAUAUACCGCCCAGCACCUAUUUGUUGAUAUUUUAAAUUGACUUGUUUGGGGUGUUUGGAAGAAAUAAAGACAGAGUAUGAAAACACAACCUGUAGCUAUGUCUAUAUGUAUUUCAUUUUUCACUUGAGUACUAUGUUUCUUAAAGACUCCUGUAAGAAAUAAUUCAGAACCACAUAAAUAAUAAAGAGAUUAAAAUUUUAAAUCCACAGAGGACAAACAUUAAGUAUUCACAAUUUGAGGAAUUUGUUCAUUCUGUCAGGAUCAUUCAGAAAGAAAACACAUACAUGCCACUAAUUUAAUUUUGCCCUCGUAAACUUGGGCAGACAAGGUGCUGAGUGUGGCAGAGGAGCCUGGGGAGAGCCCUGAGGGCUUAUUUUUGUUAAUAUACAAAUAUUAGGCUUAGGUAUCCUAUAUUUUAAAUCAAGACAAUAGAUCUAAAAAAUGUUUUAGCAUUUUGAAAUUUCAAAACUUCAUCCUGGUAGACCAUGAUAUGCAGUACAUCUUAAGUGGAAAAAAAAAGAAGCUACACUAUGAAUUGUAUAAUCCCAUUUUUGUAAAGUUAAGCAAAAUCAUCUCUCUCUCUCUAUCUCUGAUUACUUUGGGAUGUGGGAUUACAGGAUUUGGGGUUGGGGAUCAGAGAAUGUAGAGGGACUUUCACUUUUUAUUUUAUACUCUUCCAUAGCUUUAAAA
RNAcentral lists this long non-coding RNA (4335 nucleotides) under Homo sapiens (human). RNAcentral's name for it is "HSALNT0399868". The record is from RNAcentral. Lineage: Eukaryota; Metazoa; Chordata; Mammalia; Primates; Hominidae.